Equus caballus (horse) is the source of this 2171-nucleotide long non-coding RNA. The record is from Ensembl. Lineage: Eukaryota; Metazoa; Chordata; Mammalia; Perissodactyla; Equidae.
CUAUAUUUGAGAUAUGUAAUCUCCUAUAUCUAAAAAGCAUUAUUGCUACCUGGUUGAGCUCCAGUUCCGCUUCCUGGGUGAUUGGUACCAUCCUCCGCAUCGUGUAUGGACUGGGGCUCUUCCUCCUGUUCUUUCCCUGCCCCAAAAGGAAUUUGCCCUUACAACUAACUUACAAAAGGAGAAACGCCAGGAAGCAUCAAGUGGAGCCGAGAGGGAGGAGCAGCAGGAGCAGGAAGAAAAGGGGAGCUUUGAAAGGUCAUCACACUUCAAGUCCCAGCAAGGGCACCUGUCCUGCCACCGACCAGUGGCCUCAUUCUGGGGAGGCCCCACAAAUAGGGAGGGAGAGACUGAUAGCCCCUCAGUUGCCAACCCUGAUGUCUGGAAGCUGCUCGAGACAGAAAUCACGGAAAGAAUACAAACGGAGGUCUGGGAAAAAGAAGAACAAGAUGAUCCAGGCACUCCUCAGAUGCUUGAAGCACACGGUAUCAUGUCUGGGCUGAAUUUCCGCUGGGGCCUACCCCUCCUGUCCUUGGGGCCUGCAGAUCUGAAAGCAUGUGAGGCUCAACCCUCGGUCCUUCCAUGGCCCCCUUUGCCCCCCGCAGCCACCUGUGAUUCUGGGGCCCCCUCGAAAGCUGAUUUUGCACACUUCAUUGGAAAACCUCUUGAGACUCCUCCGGGUGACAAAGUCUUAACUUUGACAACAAAAGCAUCAGUUCCCAGCCUGGCCCCUCCCCUCCCUGCUCCCUCACCUGUGUGUGAGGAAAAUCAGAAGGCCCUGGGAGGGACCCUACCUGGCGAUGGCAGUGGGCCCUCAGAAGCCUCUCUCUUUGGACAGAAGGGCCGGCCGCCUUCUCCAACCUUCCCAUUCAGCCUCUCAGAGAGAAAAGGGCAGAGUGGGACCUUCGUGGGGGCUGAGCAAGGCCAUCUAGAGCUGAGUUCAGGGUCCCCAGUGGCCAGGAAUGAGCCUCAGGAGGAGAGGAGGGGUGGAGCCUCACCAGAGCCCUGCCGUGGGGUGGCAACACUGGAGGGGGAGUCAGGGUCCCAGUCUUGGAGCCAGGUCGGGGUAAUAGGAGACACCCUCGGGACCAAACCCCUCAAGCCCCUGCCUGAAAAGGAAGAGGUUUUUCACGAAAGCCCUUUCAGAAAAAUGUUGAGAUGCCUCCUGCCCUGCCUGAGGCCCAACAAGGAGGAAGCACCAGAGGAUCCCCUUGCAAAGGCAAGCCGGAGUCAGCCACCACCCAGAGCCAGGCAAGGGUCACACACAGCUCGGCGUCGGAUGGCAGGGCUGUUCAGGCGCCAUCGACAGUGACAUCCUUUGUCUGCGUCCUGGGAGAGAAACUGAGGCUUGCCGAGAACUUCUGGCCUCCCAGUCGAAGCAUCAUAAAAACCAUUUCAGGCCUGGGAAGCUGGACAUACCUGUUACCACGACGUUCCCUCCUCUCCAGACCAGAGAAGAACAAUGACAGAGGACAGUCCCCAACCUACCUCCAGGGACCACAACUGUCCAACUAUGAGUGAAUGGAUCAGAACAGGCAUGGCAACUGGACCUUGCCAUCCAGGCAGCUGCGGUCCCCAGCCAAACCCUGCCAGCCUGGGCUGAGGGUGGCAGCUGCCUCAGCCAAUCCAUUACCCGCCAUGCUGUCCUCAGAUAUGUGUCUCCUGGGAUGAGUAGACUGUGCCUGACACACCUUUCCUCAUAGGAACGCUUAUCUCCCCAAACGGGGAAGUGGAGGAACAGAAAACCUGGUUUUUCUCCUUAUCCCACCCUCUGUACUAAUGGUGUCUUCCUACCCCAAUUUUCCCCAAAUACACUUUUUUUCUCCUUAGAGGUCAUGACUUCUGUCUGUGCCCUGCUAGUGGUAAAAACAGGGUCAGGCUCCGCCCUUCCUGAGUGUCUGCUUUGGCUUCCAGAAGGGUCAGGGCCAUGGGGGGAGGCUGACUGCAGCGUGGCUCACCUGCCCUCACUCCAACUCCCCCACUGCACCUGAAGUCCCCAUCACACCGUCCUUACAAAAACAAACGGAAGCUUUGGGCUGUUUCCAGAUGAGCAAAACCUCUAAGACCCCAGCCCAGGAUGGGCCCCGCCUGUCCUCUCCUGCGUUCUCUGGCCCUGGAACUUGUGGGGCUGUAGGGAGGGGGUUUGCAGAGGCUCCAGGAAGUGUAGAGACAGG